RNAcentral lists this ribosomal RNA (463 nucleotides) under uncultured bacterium. RNAcentral describes it as "bacterial SSU rRNA". It matches the Rfam family "Bacterial small subunit ribosomal RNA", at positions 906 to 1382 of the family's 1533-position model. The record is from RNAcentral.
GGAAUUGACGGGACCCGCACAAGCGGUGGAACAUGUGGUUUAAUUCGACGCAAAGCGAAAAACCUCACCAAGGUUUGACAUACCAAUCGUAUCCCUAAGAAACUAGGGAGUCAGUUCGGCUGGAUUGGAUACAGGUGUUGCAUGGCUGUCGUCAGCUCGUGUCGUGAGAUGUCGGGUUAAGUCCUUUAACGAGCGCAACCCUCAUUGCAUGUUAAUUUUUCAUGCGAGACUGCCCUGGUUAACAGGGAGGAAGGUGGGGAUGACGUCAAGUCAGCAUGGCCCUUACACCUUGGGCUACACACGUGUUACAAUGGCCGGUACAAUAAGUCGCAAUACCGUAAGGUGGAGCUAAUCUAUGAAAACCGGUCCCAGUUCGGAUUGGGGGCUGAAACUCGCCCCCAUGAAGUCGGAAUCGCUAGUAACCGUGAAUCAGAAUGUCACGGUGAAUACGUUCCCGGGUCUU